Molecule: long non-coding RNA, 339 nt
Filed under: Bos indicus x Bos taurus (hybrid cattle)
Lineage: Eukaryota; Metazoa; Chordata; Mammalia; Artiodactyla; Bovidae
Description: lncRNA (ENSBIXG00005025136.1)
Source: RNAcentral
AGCCAGAGGUGCUCCUAUGUGUUUGCUGAGCAAGGUGACGCUCCCAUGUGAUGGGUGAGCAACUGCAGUGUGAGUGGAGCUGCCGGUCCCGGGGCACACACACAGACUGACAGACUGAGAUUCCUCUGUGAUCGGCCCAAGGCAAGUGACAUCAUCUCUUUGGGGGCCGGUUUCUUCAAGACACUGGGUAAGAUGUCUGAAGGCUCCUUUGGUAGAAGCUCCCGUUUGCUGUCCUCGGUAUGACCAGCUUGGAGGAGACAAAGACGCGGUCCAGGGGCUUACCUAGAGGAGCCCAUAGCUAAGGGGGAAGAAUAAACAUAACCGAUAUGACUUGCUUCA